AUGGAGAGAUAUAGGGAGCAUAAGAAGGACUUGCAUAUGGUGUUCAUUGACUUGGAGAAGGCCUAUGAUAAGAUACCGCGGAAUGUCAUGUGGUGGGCCUUGGAGAAACACAAAGUCCCAGCAAAGUACAUUACCCUCAUCAAGGACAUGUACAAUAAUGUUGUGACAAGUGUUCGAACAAGUGAUGUCGACACCGAUGACUUCCCGAUUAAGAUAGGACUGCAUCAGGGGUCAGCUUUGAGCCCUUAUCUUUUUGCAUUGGUGAUGGAUGAGGUCACAAGGGGUAUACAAGGAGAUAUCCCAUGGUGUAUGCUCUUUGCGGAUGAUGUGGUACUAGUUGACGAUAGUCGGACGGGGGUAAAUAGGAAGUUAGAGUUAUGGAGACAAACCUUGGAAUCGAAAGGGUUUAGGCUUAGUAGAACUAAAACGAGUACAUGA
RNAcentral lists this ribosomal RNA (438 nucleotides) under Triticum aestivum (bread wheat). RNAcentral describes it as "partial small subunit ribosomal RNA". The record is from RNAcentral. Lineage: Eukaryota; Viridiplantae; Streptophyta; Magnoliopsida; Poales; Poaceae.